GAUGAACGCUGGCGGCGUGCCUAAUACAUGCAAGUCGAGCGAACAGACGAGGAGCUUGCUCCUCUGACGUUAGCGGCGGACGGGUGAGUAACACGUGGAUAACCUACCUAUAAGACUGGGAUAACUUCGGGAAACCGGAGCUAAUACCGGAUAACAUGUUGAACCGCAUGGUUUAACAGUGAAAGACGGUCUUGCUGUCACUUAUAGAUGGAUCCGCGCCGCAUUAGCUAGUUGGUAAGGUAACGGCUUACCAAGGCAACGAUGCGUAGCCGACCUGAGAGGGUGAUCGGCCACACUGGAGCUGAGACACGGUCCAGACUCCUACGGGAGGCAGCAGUAGGGAAUCUUUCGCAAUGGGCGAAAGCCUGACGGAGCAACGCCGCGUGAGUGAAGAAGGUCUUCGGAUCGUAAAACUCUGUUAUUAGGGAAGAACAAAUGUGUAAGUAACUAUGCACGUCUUGACGGUACCUAAUCAGAAAGCCACGGCGAACUACGU
Molecule: ribosomal RNA, 496 nt
Filed under: uncultured bacterium
Lineage: Bacteria
Description: partial 16S ribosomal RNA
Rfam family: Bacterial small subunit ribosomal RNA
Source: RNAcentral